AGCGCUGCGGCUUUGGUCGUCGUCACCAUGCUCCUGCUCCAAGCUUGCGGUGAAGGUAGUGAAUUUUCAGCAUCUUCCUUGCCGCGGCCGCCUCGGAAUCAGAUGCGCAAGAUGCUCGGCGUCAAUGCAUCCUCCAUGUCAUCGAACGGCGGCGGAGGUCACUCGGCGGAGCCGUUGGAGCUGGAGGAGUGCUCCAAGGACCUCCUGGAGGUCUCCCAGUUCAACGGGCCGAGCAUGGCCGGCGGCAUGCCGACCUACAGCGUGGAGUUCACCAACACCUGCAUCGACUGCGCCGUGUGCGACGUCCACGUCGCAUGCGGCGACUUCGCCUCAAAUGAUGUCAUCGACCCUGACAAGUUCCGCCGCCUCGCCUUCGACUGCCUCGUCAAUGGCGGCGGGACCAUCGAGCCCAGCUUCCCUGUGUCGUUUCAGUACGGCAACUCCUUUCCCUACCCGAUGACAGUGGCGUCCGCCUCCUGUGACUGUAACUAG
This 492-nucleotide ribosomal RNA is filed under the name Triticum aestivum (bread wheat). Its description in RNAcentral is "partial small subunit ribosomal RNA". The record is from RNAcentral. Lineage: Eukaryota; Viridiplantae; Streptophyta; Magnoliopsida; Poales; Poaceae.